GCCAGUGUGUCUCAGUGGUUAGAGUGUGGGCCCACACACUGAAGAGUCAUGGGUUCAAUUCCCAGUCAAGGGCA
Non-coding RNA from Myotis brandtii (Brandt's bat), 74 nucleotides. Lineage: Eukaryota; Metazoa; Chordata; Mammalia; Chiroptera; Vespertilionidae. The record is from Rfam.